This 429-nucleotide ribosomal RNA is filed under the name Bacteroidota bacterium. Its description in RNAcentral is "Bacteroidetes bacterium partial 16S ribosomal RNA". It matches the Rfam family "Bacterial small subunit ribosomal RNA", at positions 355 to 776 of the family's 1533-position model. Lineage: Bacteria; Pseudomonadati; Bacteroidota. The record is from RNAcentral. RNAcentral also lists the same sequence under 1 other name.
UAGGGAAUCUUCGGCAAUGGGGGGAACCCUGACCGAGCAACGCCGCGUGAGUGAAGAAGGUUUUCGGAUCGUAAAGCUCUGUUGUUAAGGAAGAACGAGUGUGAGAAUGGAAAGUUCAUGCUGUGACGGUACUUAACCAGAAAGGGACGGCUAACUACGUGCCAGCAGCCGCGGUAAUACGUAGGUCCCGAGCGUUGUCCGGAUUUAUUGGGCGUAAAGCGAGCGCAGGCGGUUAGAAAAGUCUGAAGUGAAAGGCAGUGGCUCAACCAUUGUAGGCUUUGGAAACUGUUUAACUUGAGUGCAGAAGGGGAGAGUGGAAUUCCAUGUGUAGCGGUGAAAUGCGUAGAUAUAUGGAGGAACACCGGUGGCGAAAGCGGCUCUCUGGUCUGUAACUGACGCUGAGGCUCGAAAGCGUGGGGAGCUAACAGG